RNAcentral lists this small RNA (83 nucleotides) under Marmota monax (woodchuck). The record is from RNAcentral. Lineage: Eukaryota; Metazoa; Chordata; Mammalia; Rodentia; Sciuridae.
GCCAGGCUCGGUGGCGCACACCUGUAAUCCCAGCAACUCAGGAGGCUGAGGCAGGAGGAUGAGGAGUUCAAAGCCAGCCUCAG